GUCUACGGCCAUACCACCCUGAACACACCCAAUCUCAUCUGAUCUCAGAAGCUAAGCAGGGUCGGGCCUGGUUAGUACUUGGAUGGGAGUCUAUACUCUUUUAAAUGAAACAGGUUACAAGGGAGU
RNAcentral lists this ribosomal RNA (126 nucleotides) under Octodon degus (degu). Lineage: Eukaryota; Metazoa; Chordata; Mammalia; Rodentia; Octodontidae. The record is from RNAcentral.